This 485-nucleotide ribosomal RNA is filed under the name uncultured bacterium. Its description in RNAcentral is "partial 16S ribosomal RNA". It matches the Rfam family "Bacterial small subunit ribosomal RNA", at positions 28 to 523 of the family's 1533-position model. The record is from RNAcentral.
GAUGAACGCUAGCGGCAGGCCUAAUACAUGCAAGUCGAACGGUGUCUUCGGACAUAGUGGCGCACGGGUGCGUAACACGUAUGCAACCUACCUUACAUUGGGGGAUAGCCUUUCGAAAGGGAGAUUAAUACCGCAUAAGACAGUAGCUGGGCAUCCAGCGGCUGUUAAAGAUUUAUCGAUGUAAGAUGGGCAUGCGUCCAAUUAGUUAGUUGGCGAGGUAAUGGCUCACCAAGACUUUGAUUGGUAGGGGAACUGAGAGGUCAAUCCCCCACACUGGCACUGAGAUACGGGCCAGACUCCUACGGGAGGCAGCAGUAGGGAAUAUUGGGCAAUGGACGCAAGUCUGACCCAGCCAUGCCGCGUGCAGGAUGAAGGCGUUAUGCGUUGUAAACUGCUUUUAUACAGGAAGAAACGACUCUUGCGAGAGGCAUUGACGGUACUGUAUGAAUAAGCACCGGCUAACUACGUGCCAGCCGCCGCUGUAA